GGAUGAACGCUAGCGGGAGGCUUAACACAUGCAAGUCGAGGGGCAUCACGAGGUAGCAAUACUUUGGUGGCGACCGGCGCACGGGUGAGUAAUACGUAUGCAACCUUCCCUGUACAGGGGGAUAACCCGGAGAAAUUCGGACUAAUACCCCAUGAUGAUAUUUAUGGGCAUCCAUUGAUAUUUAAAGCUCUGGCGGUACAGGAUGGGCAUGCGCGACAUUAGCUAGUUGGUAAGGUAACGGCUUACCAAGGCUACGAUGUUUAGGGGACCUGAGAGGGUUGUCCCCCACACUGGUACUGAGACACGGACCAGACUCCUACGGGAGGCAGCAGUGAGGAAUAUUGGUCAAUGGGCGCAAGCCUGAACCAGCCAUCCCGCGUGAAGGAAGAAUGCGCUACGCGUUGUAAACUUCUUUUCCAGGGGGAGAAUAAUCCUGUCGUGACAGGACUUGACGGUACUCUGGGAAUAAGCAUCGGCUAACUCCGUGCCAGCAGCCGCGGUAAUACGGAGGAUGCGAGCGUUAUCCGGAUUUAUUGGGUUUAAAGGGUGCGUAGGCGGAUUGAUAAGUCAGUGGUGAAAUUCUACAGCUUAACUGUAGACUUGCCGUUGAUACUGUUAGUCUUGAGUGUGGUCAAGGCAGGCGGAAUGUGUAAUGUAGCGGUGAAAUGCUUAGAUAUUACACAGAACACCGAUUGCGAAGGCAGCUUGCUGGGUCAUUACUGACGCUGAUGCACGAAAGCGUGGGGAUCAAACAGGAUUAGAUACCCUGGUAGUCCACGCCGUAAACUAUGAUCACUCGCUGUUGGCGAUACACAGUCAGCGGCUAAGCAAAAGCAUUAAGUGAUCCACCUGGGGAGUACGGCCGCAAGGCUG
This 873-nucleotide ribosomal RNA is filed under the name uncultured Bacteroidota bacterium. RNAcentral describes it as "bacterial SSU rRNA". It matches the Rfam family "Bacterial small subunit ribosomal RNA", at positions 27 to 896 of the family's 1533-position model. Lineage: Bacteria; Pseudomonadati; Bacteroidota. The record is from RNAcentral.